This 6981-nucleotide long non-coding RNA is filed under the name Equus caballus (horse). RNAcentral describes it as "lncRNA (ENSECAG00000058080.1)". The record is from RNAcentral. Lineage: Eukaryota; Metazoa; Chordata; Mammalia; Perissodactyla; Equidae.
CUGUCCUGGAAGGGGAGGGAGGGAAGGGAGACAGACGGGCAGGACAGAGAGCUCAGGAGCCCUGGGCUGUAAGCCUUACUUGAAGGAGAAGAGCUGUUGGGCAGGCUGUAAAGAUUGAGCGUGAGUUUCUUCCUCUGUGACAUCGGGGUGGCCUUCCUGCCUAUUUUCCUGGUGGCGUGGGUGUGAGGAUCGUGUGAGCCGACGGACAGGACAGGGUUCUGACAAUGCAAGGCAUGCACAGGUCUCCAUCCACUGGAUCCCAGGGGCAACUAGCCAAUCCGCAUAGCCGAGGGUUUGCCCUUUGAACUACCCAAACUUUCAAAUCCCAUCGAGUCUUCGGAUGGAAAUAUUUUUAAAACUAUGACCUGUUUCCAGCUUCAUGAAAUGGAGCAUCCUUGAAGGUAGGUUGUGUUGAUGCUUUUGAAAUCUACCAAAGGAUGCCAUGUUAUUGUGCUUUUAAAACCUUUUUGGUCUCUCGAGGUCAGCUAUGGUUCCUCACUGCUGUCAGUUACAGUUCUUCUCCCGUAAAACUUCCUUCUCCUAAUCGGCUGCGGAUUUGGGAAGCAACCCCUCCACUCUGUCAGAGCUGCGUGGAGAGUAAGCGUGACAGGCUCCUGAGCCAGCGGUCUCGUGAGUCAAGGGCAGGAGGUUCAGAGGAGGCAGCUGCUUCCUCGCUCCUGGUCUUGGCCGUGAACGCAGGUGAUGUGCGGCCGGGGCACGUGGUCUUAACUCAAGGUCACGCCUUCCUCAAGGGCUCUUGCAGUCAUACCCUCCACUCCGUUGCUCCACCCCAGCCUCCCCUUGCCCUCCGUCACCUGGCGUUCUGCAGCAGCCCCCUGGCUGGACAUCUCACCCACUGAUGGACCCUCCCAGUCCGUCCUCGCAAUACACUGUCAGCCAUUUUCCAGAAGACAGAUCUGAUCACCUUCCUUCGAUGCUUGAAACCCUUUGCUGUCUCUGCAGAGCCUCAGAAUCAAGCCCACUCUCUGGCUCAGUACACUGCUCCCCAAGGUCCCCCUGUGGGGACCCCUCUAGCCUCUCCUUCCAGCAACCCUGCUCCCAUGCCCUUCGCUGUGGCUACAAGGAACCAACAUGGGAUGCUGCAUUCUCUGGCUUCACGUGAGUUAUCCUGUCUGCCCUUCCCCACUUCCCCACCUGGGAAAAUUCAGCGCAGGUGUCACCUCCUCUGAGAAUCCUCCAUUACCCCCUUCUAGGCUUAUUCAAGUGGCUCCUCCACCACUACCUCAUGGGCUGUGGGGAUGGUUUAAGUCAGAGAUUCUGGAGCCUAACCACCUGGGCGCAGAUCCCAGCCCUGCCCCUUCAUCGCCGUGUGACCUUGGGCAAGUCACCUGACGCGGUUCCCCCACAUGAAAAAUGCGACUGAAAGAGGUGGCCAGCUCGUUCACACCACCACGUGUCAAGCGCCUCGUGCCACGCCUGCUGCAUCGUAAGCACGCCGUUAGUGCGAGCUAUUUUGCUGAUCUGUCUUGUAACUACUGGUUUGCAGCGUCCCCCACUAACCCCAAGCUGUUCAAAGGCAGGCCCGGUCUUCAUGCGUGUGUUCUUCCUCCCUGGCGUCUGGUGCUGGACCAGGCACACAGCAGCUGCUCCAUAACAGCCAAAUGCAUGAAUGGAAGUCAAGUGCAGUGUUAGCUGGGAGGGUCCUUCCGCAGCACGAGUGAACGCCCGGCACUGUGUGAGCGAGUGUUCCUGGCAUGCCAGUCUUCUCCCUUGAGCCAGAUGGUGAGCUCCCGGGGGUGAGCGAGCAGGGCCGUCCCCUCCCUCGGCCGUGGUGCCAGUCGCUGCCUGGCCCGCUGGGGCCCGGUGAGCACCCGGAGGGGAGCCCGGUGCUGUCCGUGGUGCUGAAGAGGGCUGCCAAGUGACUGAUCCUCUGCCCGAGGUGGGAGGUGGAGGGCUUUGCCUCAGGGAAGCCAGGAGCGGGUUCUCCAUCUCAGAUCCCCGCCAGCACAUUUUGUUCUGACAUCUCCCUGGCACCUUUGCCAGUGACGUGAUGGUGCCUGCACAGCUUGCUCUCUGCUUUCAGAAUUUCCUGGAGAACUGUCAUAUCCCGCCAUCCCCUCCCACCAUGGCAGGCGCCUCCAAACUUGGGUGUGUUACCCAGAGACCUGGGUUAGGGCCUGGAACACCAGCUGUGGCCCCACCUGCCAGCCAGCCAGCUCCACACUUUCUCCAACCUGCUGGUCCCCAGCCCAGGCAACCUCUUGACAGCCCUGUCCUCAGGGCAAGCAAAGCAGGGAAAUACUGGCCACAAAGUGGGGGUGAAGAUAAAUUCAGAUCCGGUGCACACGGGGGAGCUAGAUGGUCCAAGCUUUUAGACAGACACCUGAGUUGGAAUGCCACCACCCUGUGUGACCUUGGGUGGUUUCUUUCAUCCCUGAGCCUCAGCUUCCUCAUCUGUUAAGUGGGAAUAAUUCCUUUCUCAAGGGUUAUCAUGAGGACGAGAUUAGACAAUACAGGUAAAAGUGCUGACAAUUGGGCCUGGCGCAUAAUAAAUGCUCACUAAAUGGUAGCUAUUAUCCCUCAGACUUCCCUUGAUGAAGGAGCCUUAGAAUUUCAGAGUGGAAGAGAAUCUAGUCCAACUUAUUCAGUUCACUUACAAGGAAACUGAGGCUCAGCCAGGUGACAGGAUUUGUCUAAGGUCACAGGGCCAGGAAGGGAGAGGACUCAGGAUAAAGGGGAGCUUCAGAUUCAUUGUGACACCAGGACGCCAUAGUCAGGGCCCGGGGGUCACCCACAGGCUAAGGGUCAAGGUGUUUUCCAUUUAACUCCAGGAAAUGUCCUUGGUUCAAACCUUAAAACUGAGUCCCUGCCCCACCUUCGUCCCGGUUACCUCUCAACCACACCGCCAGGCUGGUGGCACCAUCAUCCCCAUCUUCCAGAGGAGAGGACGGAGCCGCAGAGGGCGCAGGAGACGGGCCACACAGCGCCUCCCUGCCGGGGUCGCGUGAAGGUCAUGCGAGGCGAGCAGGUGGGAGGUCCCGGGCGGGCCUGCAGAGGAUGUACUUGGAGACAGCACCCUCCUGUCCCUCCUGAAGGAGCUGGUCCUCAGGUUUCCGAGCAGCAAGGAGCAUCCCGGUUCACGCCCCCAGAGCCUCUGCGAGUUAGCAGGUUGGAGCACAAUCUCCUCAGAAGAUCACGGGAGAGACGCCGGCAAUUCGAGCCAGCAGAGCAGCUGCCUGGAGGCCGACGGGGAGCUGCUGAGCACGCGGAUGCGAGGACACAGACGGCGGGCAUUAGAGGCCUCUGAGGAUGCCUUUGAUCUCCUGGAGCACGUGGCCGGGCCCAGCCAGAAGGAGGAAAACCCACUGGCCUCCAUCCAGGGCACCUGGGCUCAAAUUCCAGCCCCGGAGCUCAUUCUGAGAUCUAACAUUGAGUCGCCCGUGAGCUCAGAAGCUCCGUUCCCAGAUUUUAAAAACGGGAAUCACAACUCCUACCUGAGCCUGUGGGGAGGGCAAAUGGGAUGGUCCAUGGAAUGCACCCAGCACGGUGCCCCCCCAUCGUGGGUGCUCGGUACACGUCAGUGCCCUUCUUGUCCUUCCAUCCUCACCUGUAUUUACCCAUCGAGCAUUUAUUGAGCACUUACUAUGUACCAAGUGCUAUUCCAAGGCCCGGUGAGCUGGCGGCUAACAUGGCAGUGACCUGCUCUCAUGCAGUUUACGUUUUACUGGAGAAAGUCAGAAAGAAAGAAGCAAGUAAUAAACAAGAAAAUGUUAGCCGUCAGUGAGUGCUUUAAAGAACAUUCAACUCUAUCGUGAUCAGGACUGGAGGCAACAUUACAUAGGAGACUUGGGGCCUUUCUGAAGAGAAGAUAAUGAGUAGAGGUCUGAACAAAGAUCUGGAGGGAAGAACAUUCCAGGUGGAGGGAACAGCAAGUGCAAAGGUCCUGAGGGUCUCUUGUUAGUCUGUAAAGUCAGUUCACUAGGCGGGGCCUUUAACCCCAGCAAUGAACUUCUGCCCUGGGUUCUGACCUUAAAAUGCCUGAACAGGAAGGAAGGGUCCUUGGAGAUGCUCUGUGAGUCCAAGACUGUCAUUCAAAUGGAUCAACUGAGGCCCAGAGACUUGCCCAGGAAUGUGACUUGCCCAAGGUCCUACCACAAGUUAGAGACUCCACCAACCAGGAUGAUGUACCUCUGCAAGUGACACAAAAGCCCGACAUCAGUGGCUUAAACAAGUUUGUUUCUCUCUCCAAAAACAAAGAGAGGUCAGCAUCCCAGGCUGGUACAGCAGCUCCACAAUCCGCAGGGACCCAGGCUGCUCCUCAUUUACUCUGCCAUCCUCAGCAUGUGACUUCCACCUCAUGACCCAGGGUGGCUGCCCCAGCUGCAGCCAUCAUGUCUGCAUUCCAGAGCAGAAAAGCAGAAGGCUCGAAAAAGAACACGUCCUUCCCAAAAAGGACACGCCCCAGUGGUUGCAGUUAUAUUGCGUUGGCCAGAACUUAGUCAUGUGACUGCAUCUAACUGCAAAGGAGGCUGGGAAAUGUAGUCUUUACUCAGGACAGCCAUGCGCUCAGCUCAAAAUUAGGGGUGCCAUUCAUCGGGAAGAAGAGGAGAACAGAUAAGGAGGGACAGCUGGCCCUCUCUGCCACAAGGACAAAGUCAAGACUGGAACCCACAUGUCCUGACUCCCCUAGUGCUCUCUGCACUGCCCUCUCCCCCUGUCGUCCCCCUCACAAUGAGCAAAUAGCAGCCAAAUGCAGGGGAACCCCUGGGAGAAGGGCCUGGAGGAUGUAGAAGGAGGAGGGGCACACCAAGGGGGAGGAGCCGUGACGGAGGGAGGCCCAGCUGCCGAGCCUUCCCCCAUGCCCAUUGCUCUCACCGGUCGGGCAGCUGGCCCUGAGGCCCAGGGCAAGGAGACGUUGCUGUCACCUCCUUCUGGGGAGGCAGCUGGUGACACAGCUCCCGCAGUUCCCCAUUGUUCCCAGGGGACAGAGUGGCAGGUCGGUGGGAUCCCACAGUGGCAGCAUUUGAGGGCAAGGGAGGUGGUUAAGCAGCUGGCACAUGCAGCCUGCCCACCCCCCCCAGCCUCCCUCUCCCGCCCCUCCUGGGUGGCUGUGUGGGUGGCGGGCAGGGCUUCCCCGUGGGCCUCGCUGCGGGACUCUGUCUCCUGCCUGACACUGAGCACUGAGUGCCUCCUGCUUCCUUCCUCCUCCCGCUGCCCCCUCCUCUCUCCCUGCCCCCUCUUCUCCGUCACUUACUCCUUCCCGCCCCUCACCUGUAUCUUUCCUCUCCCCCUUCCUCCUCUUCACUCCUCUUUCCCUCUCUCCUUCCAGCAUUUUCCUGUUUCCUGCCUUUUUUCCUUCUUCCCUUUUGGGACUCCUCCUCUCUCUUGCCCUCUCGGCCUCCCCCAGCCCUUCACUGCCCGUGGCCCACUCUCCAGGGGCCCUCGUCGCAGCUGGGGACAGGGCUGGGUCAGAGGUCACUCAUGAGCAGCCUAGGUGGAAGGUCACGUCUGCUCCGGACCUUCCCAGAAGUCUCCUGCUCCCUGUCCAGCAUCAGGGAGCUACCUGCCGACCUGUGGCUCCAGCCCCCCCACCGCGUGGGGACAGGAGAGUCGUGCACAUUGAGCCAACUACACGCUAGCCACCGGCACAGCACUUUACCCUUGCCACGGCCCACUGAGGCUGUUCGCAUUGUUCCCAUUUUAUAGAUGAGGAGACCGAGGCCCCCAGAGGCAGAGUUGUUAGAAACCAUCCCUUAAAGGGGUGGGAGCCAGAAUAGGUGCCUGAGAGGCUCCCUGGCGGGUCCCUGCCAGCCCCAGCCCUGGUCCGACGCUCAGUCCCCAUGCUCACUGGCAGCCCAGCCCAUCAGCCUUCACAGAGAUCGAGCGAGGAGGGGAGGAGCAUGGUAGGUGCCCCACAAGGAGGUCUCGGGUCUUUGCGGCCAACUUCUUGGCUCCUCAGGGCUGCUCAGCCUCAAACUUCAAAUAGCCUCCCUUCCCUCUCCCCCAGCAACCACCUGUCAGACACAUAGAGAUGCACCCACACGUGGGACAUCCACAGCAGAUGUUGCCUCCCACUCAGACUGCCUGUGCGGGUGAGAGGGUGUACACAUAACGGUGGUGUUGGUGGUGGUGAUGCUGGUGGUGGUGGUGGUGAUUGUGGUGGUGGUGGGGUUAUUAUAGUGGAGGUGGUGAUGGUGGUGAUAUUGGUAGUGAUGGAGGUAAUGAUAAUGGUUGUGGUGAUGGAGUUGGUGGUGGGGUUAUUAUAGUGAGGGUGAUGGCAGAGAUGGUGGUGGUGGUGAUGGUGGUGAUAUUGGUAGUGAUGGAGGUGAUGUGGUUGUAGUGGUGAUGGUGGUGAUGUUGGUAGUGAUGUAGGUAAUGAUGGUGGUUGUGGUGAUGGUGGUGGGGUUAUUAUAGUAGAGGUGGUGAUGGUGAUAUUGGUAGUGAUGGUAGUGAUGGAGGUGAUGAUGAUGGUUGGGGUGAUGGUGGUGAUGGAUUUGGUGGUGAGGUUAUUAUAGUGGAGGUGAUGGAGGUGAUGAUGGUGGUGGUGGUGAUGGUGGUGAUAUUGGUAGUGAUGGAGGUGAUGAUGGUGGUUGUAGUGAUGGUAGUAAUGAUGGUGGUGGUGGGGUUAUUAUAGUGGAGGUGAUGAUGGAGGUGGUGAUGGUGGUGGUUGUUCUUGUGGUGGCGGUGGUGAUAAACUACCUCUGUUUAGUCGCACAUCAAUGCACAAUAUACCUACUACCCAUACAUACAAUAAAGAAAAACCAGAGCGUGAUUAGCACUGAGUAACGAGAGUCUGUUGCUGACAGAUGACAAUGUUCCCAAAAAAUCAUAAAUCGUGUUCAGAAUAAGACAUAGACCAGGCCAUUCUGUGCCCCCACAAAUGACAUGGCUCCCCUCCUCUCCUCCGCCUUUCCCGAUGAGUGCGGCUCCCUUACCAGAGACAGCUGCCGCCCAGCCUUCCCCCUCCGGCCUCCUGGAUCGAGAUGACAUGUGCCCACUCUGGACUGGACUCUCUUCCCU